Calypte anna (Anna's hummingbird) is the source of this 1041-nucleotide long non-coding RNA. RefSeq lists it as uncharacterized. The transcript is spliced from 3 exons. Lineage: Eukaryota; Metazoa; Chordata; Aves; Apodiformes; Trochilidae. The record is from RefSeq and is a predicted model, not a curated record.
GCAUUGCAAUAAGAAGCGAGGAUGGAUAAUUUACAAACAAUUCACCCCUCAUCCCAUCACCACACCUGUAACAACCAGAAUUCCCCAUAAAUAAUUCUAGCAUUUGUGUCUGAGGUGGGAUUGGACAUUCUGGAACAGGGACAGCUUUCAGCAGCUACUUACACAAGCCACCCCUGAGGGCUCCUCCUGCAUUGAACAGAAGGAUUCUCCUACAGCAAUCCUGGCAAAGUUUGCACCCUAUACAGAACAUUAAAAAAAAAAAAAAAAGCCAACAAAACCUGCUGAGACUUGGGCAUCGCUGGUAACAGAGCCCCCCUGCUGAGGAACUGGGCAGUUUCAGACAUGGAUCUCCCUCCCUGCACCAGCAUCCAUAAUUCCUGCCUUUCACCUGCAGUGCCCUGUCUGCUCUGCUCAGCCCUUUGCCUCCCUGAUGUAUAUUUCUUGUCCUGGCUUUCUAAAAAACCAAAGAAUAACAAAAGAGAAACUCUAGUGCAGGGGGGUGGCCUUAUCCCAGAGGCUGAGCUGCUGGUGCCUGCAGGCAGCAGCCCUUUGGCUCCAGCACUGAGGGGUGAAGGAAAAAAUCUGCUUUCCAGCCCUGCAGGCAGCAUGCUCAUGGGACUGAGGUGGCACUGCCAGAGCUCCGAGAUCUCCGUGUGGAUUUUGGUGAGCUCCCAGCCUGUGGAAGAGAAGCCCCUGGCCCUGCUGUUGGGGAAACUCAGAACACUUUGGGGGCUGUCAAGCAAGCAGCAGCCUCCCACAGCCCACCUCUGGACUGGCCCCACUGCCACAGCUCCUGCUGGUUCAGGGAUGUGGAGCUGCUGGAUCCCUGCUGCCUCAGGACAGAGCCUGGAAGAAUCCAAUCUAGCAAGGAUAAACACCAGGAAAAUGGAGAGAAGCAGAGAGGAGGAGCUCAGGGGGACUACUACUGUUUAACAGGUUGGGGGGAAAGAAGGUUUAAGAGUGAGAGCGUUUAUCCUAAGGCAGAAUUUAGUUUUCCUGCAUAUAGUUUCCUGAAUUCCAACUUCUGUGGCUUUUGUUUUC